RNAcentral lists this ribosomal RNA (119 nucleotides) under Trichobilharzia regenti. Lineage: Eukaryota; Metazoa; Platyhelminthes; Trematoda; Strigeidida; Schistosomatidae. The record is from RNAcentral.
GUCGGCGACCAUACCACGUUGAAAGCACCGGUUGUCGUCCGAUCACCGAAGUUAAGCAACGUUGGACCCGGUUAGUACUUGCAUGGGUGACCAGCUGGGAAUACCGGGUGUUGCUGGCU